CAAAUACCUCUGCUGCUCUGUCUGCAUCCCUUCGAUGGCCGGGCUCAUCCUCCGGGGGCAUUAGACUCUCACUCCUGGUCCAGUUGGACACAACAGAUGUGUAGACGGAAAAGAAGGAGGUCCAUCCUCUGCAUGCGAGGAGCACUUCCCAGCACGUGCAUCCACUGAUGUGGUCAUCUAUCCUGUCUAACUCAGAAAGGACUGAUCUGGGUCGCGGGGGGCUGGAGCCUAUCCCAGCUAACAUUGGGCGAAAGGCAGGGGACACCCUGGACAGGUCGCCAGUCCAUCGCAGGGCAUCUGUCUUGAUAUUUAUUUAUAAUUUGUUUUUAGGUUUGUAAUCCUGUGUGAAAUAUUUUGUAUUGUGUGAUCAUGCCUUUUUAUGUGUUUUUUAUAUAUAUAUAUAUAUUUUUUUUUUUUUAUUUAUUUUUAUUUUUUUUAUUUUGCUUAUGUAAAGCGCUCUGAGAAUUAACUUUUAAAAGCGCUAUACAAAAUAAAGUUAUUAUUAUUAUUAUUAUUAUUAAAUCUGUUUGCUCUAAUAUUUUGACAUGUUUCCUCCAUUAACUUUUUCAAUUUUUUCUUGUAACACUACUGUGUGAAACAUAAUACAAAUAGCAGCAAUAUUAACAAUGUGAAAAGAUAAUUCUGUGCCACAAAUUAUUUGCAUUUGCUACACUGUAAAUUGAAAACUUAAUGUCUCAAUGUCUUGGCUAACUUUCAAAAAAGUAACUAUUAUAGUGUUUUGUUCAUGUUCCAACAAAUUUAGACAGCAUGUGUUUCUACAAAAUGUUAUGGGAAUAUUCAAGUACAAUAUUUGUGGAAAGAUUACCACAAAAUGUUUUUUUUUUUUAAACAUCUGGGUUACAGUGAGGCACUUACAAUGGAAGUGAAUGGGGCAGAUCUGUAAACAUUAAAAAAUUCACACUAGUUCAAAAGUAUAGCCAAGGACAUAAACAAUAUGCUUGUUAACAUGAUUGUAGUUUGAUAAAAUUGCUUAUUACCUUUUCUGCUUAAAGUGAUAUAAAAUUUUACAACUUCAUUGCCAUGUCGAUGUAACACCGUAAAAUAUGUUAUCCUGCGAAAAUGAUGAUUUAAACAACUUUGCAGCUUAAAUAAUUCACAUGUUUUAACAUUAGAAUGAAUUAAGUACUUUUAUAAAUUAUAAGCUUCACAUUUCUGUCUUUAAACCCUCCAAAAAUUGGCCCCAUUCACUUCUAUUGCAUAAGCCUCACUGUAUUAAUUUUUACUUAAUUUAAAAGAAAAGAAAAUACAAGUCAAGAUUAUUUUUUGUGGUUAUCAAAAUUGUGCUGCAAAGGCUGUUGAUUUGGCAUUUAUGACAAUUCAAAAUCUGAGUCAGAAAUACAAUUUACUUACACUGUCUAUUGUUUAAAUUCAUCAUGAGUGUUUCAAGGUUGAAUGAGACCUUUAAUGUUGUUGAAGUGAGUAUAUUUG
Long non-coding RNA from Xyrauchen texanus (razorback sucker), 1449 nucleotides. RefSeq lists it as uncharacterized. The transcript has 3 exons. The record is from RefSeq and is a predicted model, not a curated record. NCBI's taxonomy places the organism in Eukaryota, Metazoa, Chordata, Actinopteri, Cypriniformes, Catostomidae.